CCUCGAUGUUGAAUUAAUGAACCUUUAAGGUGAAGAAGCUUUGAAAGGUGGAUUAUUCCUCCAUUAGAUCAUUACAUGAUUUGAGUUCAGACCGGCGUAAGCCAGGUUGGUUGGGCAUACUGCUAAUCAUUAUACUUCGUCUUGGUCUA
This 149-nucleotide non-coding RNA is filed under the name Tropilaelaps mercedesae. Its description in RNAcentral is "Bacterial large subunit ribosomal RNA". The stretch from base 1 to 111 matches the Rfam family "Bacterial large subunit ribosomal RNA", at positions 2524 to 2635 of the family's 2925-position model. Lineage: Eukaryota; Metazoa; Arthropoda; Arachnida; Mesostigmata; Laelapidae. The record is from Rfam by way of RNAcentral.